UAACAUGUUGAUAAUCAAUGGGCUUAUAUAAUAUAGCUUUAACAAUCUGUACAUUAAUAAUAAUAAUAUAAUUUUGAAACAUUCUUACACUUGUCCAUUGCAUAAAGAAAAUGCAAAGUUAGGAUACUUGCCUGAUGCGCUGCUUACACUUACGCAACUUAGAUUUAUCUUUUCUAUCACGACCUAUCAUUAAUCAAAUCAUUUUACUGAUUAGUAUAUCAUAACGUAACACAUAACACUGCCUAUUGCAGUCAGCACAUAACCUAAUCACCUUAUCACACAUGUUCAACAAUCAUGGUUUCACAAACAAUCAUCAACUCAUUCAUAAUCACAUUGUCAUACAUGUUUCACAGUCAUUGACUCACAAACAAUCAUUAACACAUUCCUAAUCACAUUAUCAUAUAACCUUAACAACCAUUGAAUCACAAAUAAACCGUUAACUAAUUAAAUUAUCUAUGUCCAGAUCAAUUUCUGAACCAUGUCGGUCUACCGACAACUUUAUCGGGUAAUAAUCGAGUCUAAGACUCUAUACAGUAAUUACAUAUUCAUUUGGAUAACUUAAACAUCAAUUGCACUAUCUUUCAUGGCUUUAUAAUAAUUUUUAAAUAAUUAUUAUCAUUUAUCAUAAUUUAUCACAAAUUUUCAAACACCGGAAUCAUUAUAAAAUGAUUUAAAUAUCAAAUAAUUCUAUUAUCAUUAAUAUUUAAUUAAUAUUAAACUAUUAAUGAAACCAUUGCCAAAAUAUUAAAGUUAUUUAUAAUAACUGAAAAUAUUUUUAAAGUAUUUAUAUUACCCUUAAAUGAUUUUUAAAACAUUUAAAAUCAUUAUUAAAUAAUUACCAUUAAUAUUUAAAUAUUAAUGAACUAUUUAUCCAAAUAUUAAAAGUCAUUAAUUAUAACUUAAAAUAUUUUUAAUUCAUUUUUAUCCCUUUUUAAAUGAUUUUUAAAUUAAUAAAACCAUUUUAAAACUAUUUAUUUAAUAUAAUUAUUAAAUAAAUUUAAUAUCAUUAAUCAUUAAAUAAAUAUCAUUAAUAUUAAUUUAUUAAUGAAAUUAUCCUUUAAAUAUUAAAAGUUAUAUUUUAUAACUUAAAAUAUCUUUAAACAUUUUAUCUUCAUUUAAAAUGAUUAUUAAAAUAUUAAAAUCAUUUUUAAACUAAAUUAUUUAAUACAAAUAUUAAAUAACUUUAAUAUCAUUAUUAAUCAUUAAUUAAUGAAAUUAACCAUUAAAUAUUAAAAGUUAUAUUUUAUAACUUAAAAUAUUUUUAAAUACUUUAUUUUCAUUUAAAAUGAUUUUUAAAUCAUUAAAAUCAUUUUUAUCUUAUUUAUUUAAUUUAAUAAUCAAAUAAAUCUAAUAUCAUUAAUAUUAAUUUAUUAAUGAAAUUUCUCCAAAAAUAUUAAAAGUUACAUUUUAUAACUUAAAAUAUUUUAUAAUACAUUAAUCUUUAUUUAAAAUAAUUUUUAAACAAUUAAAAUCAUUUUUCUAUAAUUUAUUUAAUAUACUAAUUAAAUAAAUUAAAUAUCAUUAAUAUUCAAAUAAUUAUAAAUAUUAAUGAAAAAUAUUCUAAAUAAUCAGAAAUUAUUUUUCAUAAUUUAAAAUAAUUUUAAAAACUAUUUUUGUAAUUUUUAUAAUUUAUUUUCUAUUUUUAAAUAUUUUUCGGAAUAUUAGAAAUUAAAAAUAAUAGAAACCGUCGCUAAAGGUCUUUAGCGACAGAAAGUGUCGCUGUUGGUGUUCUUGAGGCUCAAGAACACUGACAGUCAGUUUCAUGGUGGCUCGUUUGACCGUGAUAAUCUUCCAGCCUGAUCAUGUUUUGGACUAACCUAUGGUUCAAUCAUGUAGUGCAUAUGUAGUACUACAAUUAUCAAGUAUUACAUCAAUAAAACAACAACAAUCUUGCAAGAUCCAGAGCUUCAAUGAAGCUGUCAGACCCAUUCUGGGUUUUUCUGGGCCCAGACAGUUUCGAGUUGCUACAUCUAAGCUCAAAUUAAUCUAUGUUCUAGUCUUGGUUCAGGUGGUUUGAUGAUUCAUAAUUGUAGUCCUAGUGUCAAGGUACAUUAAUAAAACAAAAACUUAGAUUAUCAUCAACAGAAUCAAUAUAAAACACACGGUCAAACUCUGUCAGACAGCUUGUUCAAACUUUUCUGGAAAUCCCCAGAAAUUGCAAAUCGUGACCAAAUGGGUCAUUUUGACCAACUGCUCUAAUCGAUCUGUGAAUUAUUUUAAUGUUCUAAAAGCAUGGAUCUAGACUUCAUCUUAUAGGCUACAGAUUCAUUACAACAAAUACAUCAUAACACCAAUAUCAUGACAGAUCAAGCGACUUAGAAAUCUUGUCAGACUCUGUUUCAAAGGUUCUGGGCUGCCCAGAUUUUAACCCAGUCAACGUCGGUCAACAGUGUUUGACCGAUUAUAACUCGUGAUCUUGGUAUCUGAUGCUUGUACUACCACUUGCAGAAUAAAGACCUCAUACAAGGCUACAAAUGUAAACACUUAAACAACAAAAACAAUAAACACACAACGAUCUAUAGACUCUGACAUUUGAUGUCAGAUCACAAAAUUUUAUUUUCCAGAAAUUUGAAAAUCAUUGAUUUAAGCAUUUAGAUGUUAUGGACUUGUAAUAUACCAACCCAGAUCGUUAAAUUAGACUAUAAACAACAGCUUUUAACAACGAAUUACAAGAUCUAACAACAUAUCAUAAAAAAAUUUUAUGGUUGGGGUUUAUACCUUUGAUGAACAAAUUUUUGAUCUUGUGUUUCUGAUUUGUUAAAGGUGAACGUGGGGCUAUAUUUGUGACUGAUAUUAGCAAAAAAUUUCGUGGCUUUUAGAAAGAGAAGGUCUAGGAGGAGCUUG
RNAcentral lists this long non-coding RNA (2844 nucleotides) under Panax ginseng (ginseng). RNAcentral's name for it is "long non-coding RNA (PGIN_LNC009475)". The record is from RNAcentral. Lineage: Eukaryota; Viridiplantae; Streptophyta; Magnoliopsida; Apiales; Araliaceae.